RNAcentral lists this transfer RNA (76 nucleotides) under bacterium. RNAcentral describes it as "tRNA-Pro". It matches the Rfam family "tRNA". Rfam says of the family: Transfer RNA (tRNA) molecules are approximately 80 nucleotides in length. The record is from RNAcentral.
CGGGGUGUAGCGCAGCCUGGUUUAGCGCGCCAGCAUGGGGGGCUGGAGGUCGGGGGUUCAAAUCCCCCCGCCCCGA